AUUUAAUGCGCCAGUUGAUGGGUUACGUUGAUGUUGUAAAUAUAUAGGAUUUUUCCUUUCAUUAGUU
RNAcentral lists this transfer RNA (67 nucleotides) under Neomenia carinata. Its description in RNAcentral is "tRNA-Ile". The record is from RNAcentral. Lineage: Eukaryota; Metazoa; Mollusca; Solenogastres; Neomeniamorpha; Neomeniidae.